CUUAGGAAAAAUAGAAACUUUUCUCACUCUCAGAAAUGCACUGAAAUUUACCUAUUUUACUUCCCUCUCCAUGGCAAUGAAUCUGUGCUGAUCCCAAUUAAAGUCUGACAAAGACCAGAGCUGCUGUGAGACACUAAUUUCAUGUUUGAACUUAUUCUGGCUUUCCACUGACAUCCUCUUCCUGGCGCCAUCUGUCCUGCACGUGAGAAGCGAGAGCUUGCCUGUGACGGUGACUUGACUCAGAGAUGUACCAGGCGGCCCCGCCCGGAAGGGAGCAGCGGGAGAGGAGGGGGCCUCUGGCUGGAGCCCGGGUGGAUGGUGGUGUCACUCAGGCAUGGGGCAGCAAAGGCUCUGGUGAGAAGACUUGAAAGCUGGGGUGGGAUGUGUUAUUUGUAAGAAGCCUGGACAAGAGGAUGAGGGGCACACCAUGUCAAUCACGGAUUUAUGAACUCACAGGAGAGGGUUGGAUAGGAUGUGUGAACGUGAGCCUGUGGUGUAGACGAUGUGAAGUCCUGGGGAAUGGGUGGGCUUGUGAUGGCACCUGCUGCUCGCAGCCUAACUCAAGGCCACACCACUUUUCCUUCCCUUUUGUCCUGCUCUGUCCUCUCCAAGGUGGCAAAGUCAUUGCCCCCCUUUCUAGGCUCUGCUGCAGGAGGGCUGCCCAGAGAGACCCCUGGGCCUGAGAUGUAAAUGGAAGUUAUGUAGGGGAGUCCCUGGGAAGCUCUGGGUUUCCACUAACAGGGACAGACAUAGCUCACACCACUGUAGCUCCCUCCUUCCUCUCUUGAUGUGGAGUUAGUAGCUGGAUAUCUAGCAACCUCCUUGCAACCAAGAGGACUUAAAGUCAUCCCAAUAAGGACGGCAGAGUGAAAAGAUGAAGAAAGCCUUUGUCCUCGGUGGCAGGACUCAGCGGUCAGCCAGGACUCACAGCUGUCCUCCUCGGGAAGUCUCACUAUGAGAACAAACCAGCUUUGCUUGUUCAAAUGAUUGUAAUUCAGGUGUUUCAUUAUCUGCUUCCAAAAUAAAGAGGCAUCACUGCCCAUGAUUACAGUCCUGGGCUCUGGAGUCUAAGAUGAAUGAGUCUAAAUCCAGCUCCACCACUGACUGCCCUGGGACCCACAUGCAUUCCCACCCUCUGAGCCCCUGAUUCCUCCCCUGUGAGGUGGGGAGACUCAGCCCUGCCCGGUAGGUGUGCAGGUAAAAGGUAGGAAGGUUAAUGCAGGUGAGGCGCUGCCACAGAGCAGGGCUAUGGACCCGUGAGUGUAAAAACACAGUCACCACCGCAGUGUCCACCUGGGGAGUCAAUGUGGGAGGCUCCAGCAGAGGAAGGAACAGCGUUCGGGAACCGAAGUCCACUGGGAACACCAUGGGAACUGAGAGGUGCUCACAGCAUUGUCAAAACAUCAUUACUCCCGAAUCUGAAACUUACUGGCUGCCGCAGUGAUGCUCAAAGGAAAUGCUCACUGGAGUGCUUUGGAGUUGAGAUUUUUGGAUUAGGGAUGUUCACUUGGUAAGUAUAUAAUACAAACAUUCCCCAUUCCAAAAAAAUUCCAAAUCUGAAAAUGUCUCAUGCCAAACAUUUUAGAAGAGGGAUACUCAGCCUGCAGCAUAAAUCCACCUUAUAGACAAAGCUAAGACACACUGAGGUCCCAUCACCGCCCAACAUCACACCAAGGUCCCAUCACUGCGCAGUGUCACAUGGGAGAUGAGGCCAAGACACACUGAGGUCCCAUCACCACCCAACAUCACAUCAAGGUUCCAUCACUGCCCAACGUCACAUGGGAGAUAAGCCAAGACACACCAAGGUCCCAUCACUGCCCAGUGUCACACGGGAGAUGAGGCCAAGACAUGCCGAGGUCCCAUCACCACCCAACGUCACAUCAAGCUUCCAUCACCCCCCAACAUCACACAGGAGACGAGGACAAGACACGCUGAGGUCCCAUCACUACCCAAUGUCACACAGGAGAUGAGGCCAAGAUACACCAAGCUCCAUCACCACCCAACGUCACACAGGCGAUUUGGAGCAUUUUGCUAAGAGGUUGGGAGUGAGCAUAUGCUGUAUAAGUAGAGGUGAGAUUAGGAAGAACCUCCCAGCAUUAGCAUCUCAAGGUGACUUUUAAAAUCUACUAUUCUUUCUGGGAUACGCACAUGGUUGGGUCUGGGAAUUCACUAAAUCUUUAGAAAUGUGGAGCUUCUGCUGUGUAAGUCCUGAGUUCUUCCAUUUCCUGAGGACCACAGCUUUGAGAUCUGCCCACCUCCUGUUCCACCAUCGCCAGGACUGAACACUGGGACUCUGAUGGUCGCAAUAACCGUGUAGCUCAGAAAAAAUGGAUGGAAAAUGCUCCUGUAAUUCCACCAGCUAACAGCAAUCAAUUUCAUCCAGAAAAAUACAACUAAAAAGCAAUUAACCAAAAACAUUAGAUAAUACUUGGUGGUAGUAACUUGUCAGAUCCCUGGUUUGAGUUUUGAACUCAUGACUUUAAGGUAAGUUCGCUCCCCAAAAGUUUCAACAAUGUCAUAUGUUAAAAAAAAAAAAAGAAAAGAAAAGAAAAAAAG
RNAcentral lists this long non-coding RNA (2556 nucleotides) under Macaca fascicularis (crab-eating macaque). Its description in RNAcentral is "lncRNA (ENSMFAG00000061115.1)". Lineage: Eukaryota; Metazoa; Chordata; Mammalia; Primates; Cercopithecidae. The record is from RNAcentral.